RNAcentral lists this ribosomal RNA (475 nucleotides) under uncultured bacterium. Its description in RNAcentral is "bacterial SSU rRNA". It matches the Rfam family "Bacterial small subunit ribosomal RNA", at positions 30 to 506 of the family's 1533-position model. The record is from RNAcentral.
UUGAACGCUGGCGGCAUGCUUUACACAUGCAAGUCGAACGGUAACAGGUUAAGCUGACGAGUGGCGAACGGGUGAGUAAUGCAUCGGAACGUGCCCGAUCGUGGGGGAUAGCGCAGCGAAAGCUGCGCUAAUACCGCAUACGAUCUGAGGAUGAAAGCGGGGGACCGUAAGGCCUCGCGCGAUCGGAGCGGCCGAUGUCAGAUUAGGUAGUUGGUGGGGUAAAGGCUCACCAAGCCGACGAUCUGUAGCUGGUCUGAGAGGACGACCAGCCACACUGGGACUGAGACACGGCCCAGACUCCUACGGGAGGCAGCAGUGGGGAAUUUUGGACAAUGGGCGCAAGCCUGAUCCAGCAAUGCCGCGUGAGUGAAGAAGGCCUUCGGGUUGUAAAGCUCUUUCAGCAGGAACGAAACGGUCGGCUUUAAUAAAGUCGGCUAAUGACGGUACCUGCAGAAGAAGCACCGGCUAACUACGU